GCCGGGCACGGUGGCGCACGCCUCUAAUCCCCGUGGCUUGGGAGGCUGAGGCAGGAGGAUCUUGAGUUCAAAGCCAGCCUUAGAAAAAGUGAGGUGCUAAGCAACUCAGUGAGACCCUGUUUCUA
RNAcentral lists this small RNA (125 nucleotides) under Marmota monax (woodchuck). The record is from RNAcentral. Lineage: Eukaryota; Metazoa; Chordata; Mammalia; Rodentia; Sciuridae.